This 1402-nucleotide long non-coding RNA is filed under the name Calidris pugnax (ruff). RNAcentral's name for it is "lncRNA (ENSCPUG00000004319.1)". Lineage: Eukaryota; Metazoa; Chordata; Aves; Charadriiformes; Scolopacidae. The record is from RNAcentral.
GGGAUGUCCCCACGAGGUGACCCCAAGGAGGUGGCUUCGAGGAGGUGGCCUCCAUGGAAGGUGUCCCCAAGGAGGUGGCCUCCAUGGGGACGUCCCCAUGGGGUGUCACCAAAGGGAUGUCCCCAAGGAGGUGACCUCCGUGGAGGUCACCCCAUUGAGGUGGCUUCAAGGAGGUGGCCUUGAUGGGUUGGCCUUGAUGGGGUGGCCCCAAGGAGGUGGCCCCAAGGGACGUCCCCAUGGGGUGUCACCAAAGGGGUGGCCCCAAGGAGGUGGCCUCCAUGAGAUGUCCCCACGAGGUGACCCCAAAGAGGUGGCUUCAAGGAGGUGGGCUCGAUGGGGACGUCCCCACGGGGUGUCACCAAAGGGAUGUCCCCAAGGAGGGGGCUUCAAGGAGGUGGGCUCGAUGGGGACGUCCCCACGGGGUGUCACCAAAGGGAUGUCCCCAAGGAGGGGGCUUCAAGGAGGUGGGCUCGAUGGGGACGUCCCCACGGGGUGUCACCAAAGGGAUGUCCCCAAGGAGGGGGCUUCAAGGAGGUGGGCUCGAUGGGGACGUCCCCACGGGGUGUCACCAAAGGGGUGGCCCCAAGGAGAUGACUUCAAGGAGGUGGCCUCCAUGGAGAUGUCCCCAUGAGGUGACCCCAAGGAGGUGGCUUCGAGGAGGUGGCCUCCAUGGAAGGUGUCCCCAAGGAGGUGGCCUCGAUGGGGACGUCCCCAUGGGGUGUCACCAAAGGGGUGGCCCCAAGGAGGUGGCCUCCCUGGAGAUGUCCCCACGAGGUGACCCCAAGGAGGUGGCUUCAAGGAGGUGGCCUCCAUGGAAGGUGUCCCCAAGGAGGUGGCCUCCAUGGGGACAUCCCCAUGGGGUGUCAUCAAAGGGAUGUCCCCAAGGAGGUGGCCUCCAUGGGAUGUCCCCACGAGGUGACCCCAAGGAGGUGGCUUCAAGGAGGUGGCCUCCAUGGAAGGUGUCCCCAAGGAGGUGGCCUCCAUGGGGACAUCCCCAUGGGGUGUCAUCAAAGGGAUGUCCCCAAGGAGGUGGCCUCCAUGGGAUGUCCCCACGAGGUGACCCCAAGGAGGUGGCUUCGAGGAGGUGGCCUCCAUGGAAGGUGUCCCCAAGGAGGUGGCCUCCAUGGGGACGUCCCCAUGGGGUGUCACCAAAGGGAUGUCCCCAAGGAGGUGGCCUCCAUGGAGGUGACCCCAUUGAGGUGGCUUCAAGGAGGUGGCCCCAAGGGACAUCCCCAUGGGGUGUCACCAAAGGGGUGACCCCAAGGAGGUGUCCCCAAGGGAUGUCCCCACGAGGUGACCCCAAGGAGGUGGCUUCAAGGAGGUGGUGGCCUCCACGGGAUGUCCCCAAGGAGAUGUCCCUCAACGAGGAGCGGGUCCCUUGGGGGUGUCCCCCCUCCCUUUU